GCCGGGCGUGGUGGCGGGCGCCUGUAAUCCCAGCUACUCGGAGGCUGAGGCGGGAGAAUGGCGUGAACCCGGGAGGUGGAGCUUGCAGUGAGCCGAGAUCCGGCCACUGCACUCCAGCCUGGGCAACACAGCGAGACUCCGUCUCAA
This is an unclassified non-coding RNA of Papio anubis (olive baboon), 147 nucleotides long. It matches the Rfam family "Metazoan signal recognition particle RNA". Rfam says of the family: The signal recognition particle (SRP) is a universally conserved ribonucleoprotein. It is involved in the co-translational targeting of proteins to membranes. The eukaryotic SRP consists of a 300-nucleotide 7S RNA and six proteins: SRPs 72, 68, 54, 19, 14, and 9. The record is from Ensembl. Lineage: Eukaryota; Metazoa; Chordata; Mammalia; Primates; Cercopithecidae.